GCAGGCCCCAAGCAAGGAAGGAAGGAGGCUGGCAGAGCUCCCUGCAGCAGAGCAGACCAUCCAGCACAGCUUUUGCAGUGACCGUGCUUUGAUGACAAGCCAGAUGGCAGUUAUUCCUCACACCCGGUGCCAAGGAGCCUGAUUGGAGCUGCAAUUUACCUUCCAUGGUGAAGCACAAUGUUGGAGCGUACCACAGCUGCGAAUUUGGCUGCUGUUAAUAGAUGCUGAUGAGCUAUUCUUCAUAACUGGCUAUAAAAAGUGGUCAAGCAUAAUAUUUAUUGUGUGCCACUGCUGCAAUCUAGAGUAAAAAUUAAUCAAUCAGGAUUCUAACCCAGGUAAUACAUGCAGAUGAUAUGCAAAGUAAGUAAUUAAAUAUGCAGACGCAAGGAAGAGAGGCACUAGAGCACAGACAUAUUUCCAUUUGACAAAAAGGCAGCUGUCAGCGUAGGAAUCACAUGUGUGGGGUGCGCAUGCCUACAUAUAAACAAGACCCAGUUCACGCUGUUAAGAUGAAAGCUGAGAUGAAGGGAGUGCAGUGUGAGCCAGGAUCAGCCCCUGGGAGAAGAAUCUAAGUGCACUAAAAUGCCUGGGUUGCUGAAGAACCGGUGUGUUGAGAUCUCUCUGUGCUGAAUGAGAAAGAUAGGCUAUUGUAGGGGGCCCACGGGGAAAAUGAAUACCAAUAUACAGAAUCACUAGUCCCUAAUUUGCUCUUUAA
Molecule: long non-coding RNA, 715 nt
Organism: Hemicordylus capensis (graceful crag lizard)
Lineage: Eukaryota; Metazoa; Chordata; Lepidosauria; Squamata; Cordylidae
Exons: 3
Source: RefSeq, a predicted model, not a curated record